RNAcentral lists this long non-coding RNA (602 nucleotides) under Lupinus angustifolius (narrow-leaved blue lupine). RNAcentral describes it as "long non-coding RNA (LANG_LNC001098)". The record is from RNAcentral. Lineage: Eukaryota; Viridiplantae; Streptophyta; Magnoliopsida; Fabales; Fabaceae.
CAUGGAAUUUUACAUUUUAUUUUUGGACCUAAAAACCCGAAUUUCUCAUCAUUUAUUUGAUGGAAGAAAAAUAUUUUGGUGGUCGACAACUGCAGGCGCAACAUCUCUCUUGAGUGCAGGUCUUAUAACAACGGCCGGAAUGACAAGGUAUCCUUUCACAAUCUCCAUCACUUGAACACGAACGACAUGUAUUCGCAUUGGCAAAACCUGCAAUAUUUGAUCACCCUUAAUAAACAUUCUUACUUUCAGGUAUAUGAAUGGACUUCCAAUUGUAAGGAAUCAAACCUUUAAUAUUUACAAUACAUGAGGAUUCAAUGAAGCUAUAUAAUAUUGGAUCGGCGCCUCAUUCGUGCUUAUAUACUUGUAUGCAUAAUAUUUUAUUUCAAGUUAAGAGAAAAAAAUAAUUUAUUCUUAAUAAUCGUAAAAGAUAUAGACAAACCAAAAAAGAGAUUGUUAAGAGGGUGAAGGAGAAAUACCGGAUCCAGAAGCUAUCAGAAAUAAAACUAGCAAGCAAGGAAAUAACAAAGAAGGCUUAACCAUUGUAUGCCUCUAUUUAUUUUCUUCUAUUUGUCUGUCUGAUAAAAGGCUUUGUGGGUUUUGGG